This 313-nucleotide ribosomal RNA is filed under the name Lysobacter sp. MS243e. RNAcentral describes it as "bacterial SSU rRNA". It matches the Rfam family "Bacterial small subunit ribosomal RNA", at positions 195 to 489 of the family's 1533-position model. The record is from RNAcentral. Lineage: Bacteria; Pseudomonadati; Pseudomonadota; Gammaproteobacteria; Lysobacterales; Lysobacteraceae.
UACGGGAGAAAGUGGGGGACCGCAAGGCCUCACGCAGAUAGAUGAGCCGAUGUCGGAUUAGCUAGUUGGCGGGGUAAUGGCCCACCAAGGCGACGAUCCGUAGCUGGUCUGAGAGGAUGAUCAGCCACACUGGAACUGAGACACGGUCCAGACUCCUACGGGAGGCAGCAGUGGGGAAUAUUGGACAAUGGGCGCAAGCCUGAUCCAGCCAUGCCGCGUGGGUGAAGAAGGCCUUCGGGUUGUAAAGCCCUUUUGUCCGGAAAGAAAAGUUCUGGGUUAAUAACCCAGGAUCAUGACGGUACCGGAAGAAUAA